UUAAUUAAAAGUAUAUUAUAUUAUAUUACACGAAGUUGGAGGAGCUAAUUAUUUCAUAUUUAUAGAUGUCAAUAUGUAGCAAAAUCAAGUAAGAAGUAAUUAGGAGUGAUAGGCUAAUCAUAUUCAACGAUAACUUGAUGGUUAUGAAAGGUAUAAAGUACAUAGGCGUUUUUAAAAUGACAAGGUUUUAAAAAGUAACAAAUGGGUUUUCAAAAUUUGUAUCUUGUUUAACCAUUAAUGCAAAGUUAAAGUAGUAUUAAUUUAUUUUAUUUGUUAAUAUUAUUAACCAAUCUAGAAACAAUAACAAUAUAUAUAUAAUGUUAAUAUAAGUAUUAUAGAAGUUGUAUAUAAUGAACUCGGCAAAAAGUCUUUCAACUGUUUAUCAAAAACAUAGCUGUGUGAACUAAUAUACGGUGUUUUCUGCUCAAUGAAUAUUAAAUAGCCGCAGUACCCUGACUGUGCUAAGGUAGCGCAAUCAAUUGACUUUUAAAUGGAGUCCAGUAUGAAAGAAAUAAUGGAGGGCUACUUUCUAAUUAACAAUCGUAGAAUUUACUAAAGAAGUGCAAAUUCUUCUAUAUUAACAAUAGACGAGAAGACCCUAGAAAUUUUAUAGAAGUAACUUUUUGUUGGGGCAACAAAGUAGUAUUAUAAAUCUACUAUUAUAACAAGAAAGACAUAUUUUGGAAGAUUAAAUUACUCUAGGGAUAACAGCAUAAUUAAUAAUAGUUUGUGACCUCGAUGUUGGAUUAGGGUAUUUACAUUUAGAAG
RNAcentral lists this ribosomal RNA (768 nucleotides) under Austrochloritis iluka. RNAcentral describes it as "partial large subunit ribosomal RNA". The stretch from base 363 to 524 matches the Rfam family "Archaeal large subunit ribosomal RNA", at positions 1879 to 2091 of the family's 2987-position model. Lineage: Eukaryota; Metazoa; Mollusca; Gastropoda; Stylommatophora; Camaenidae. The record is from RNAcentral.